RNAcentral lists this small RNA (77 nucleotides) under Xanthomonas euvesicatoria pv. allii. RNAcentral describes it as "sX9 sRNA". It matches the Rfam family "Xanthomonas sRNA sX9". Lineage: Bacteria; Pseudomonadati; Pseudomonadota; Gammaproteobacteria; Lysobacterales; Lysobacteraceae. RNAcentral also lists the same sequence under 2 other names. The record is from RNAcentral.
AUGUACCACGCGUACACUGCGGUUCUGAGCGCGCCGUCCGCGCCCACCUGACGACUGCUCACUACGUUUUGUUAGCC